Non-coding RNA from Dermatophagoides farinae (American house dust mite), 74 nucleotides. NCBI's taxonomy places the organism in Eukaryota, Metazoa, Arthropoda, Arachnida, Sarcoptiformes, Pyroglyphidae. The record is from the annotation of a RefSeq genome assembly.
GCGGACUUGGUGUAGUUGGGUAUCACGUUAGACUGAAGAUCUAAAAGUCACUGGUUCGAAUCCGGUAGUCCGCA